Molecule: ribosomal RNA, 119 nt
Filed under: Phaseolus vulgaris (common bean)
Lineage: Eukaryota; Viridiplantae; Streptophyta; Magnoliopsida; Fabales; Fabaceae
Source: RNAcentral
NNNNNCGAUCAUACCAGCACUAAUGCAUCGGAUCCCAUCAGAACUCCGCAGUCAAGCGUGCUUGGGCGAGAGCAGUACUAGGAUGGGUGACCUCCUGGGAAGUCCUCGUGUUGCACUUC